RNAcentral lists this ribosomal RNA (253 nucleotides) under uncultured bacterium. RNAcentral describes it as "partial 16S ribosomal RNA". It matches the Rfam family "Bacterial small subunit ribosomal RNA", at positions 524 to 776 of the family's 1533-position model. The record is from RNAcentral.
UACGGAGGGUGCAAGCGUUACUCGGAAUCACUGGGCGUAAAGGACGCGUAGGCGGGUUGUCAAGUCAGGUGUGAAAUCCUACAGCUUAACUGUAGAACUGCACUUGAAACUGGCAACCUAGAGUAUGGGAGGGGGAGAUGGAAUUAGUGGUGUAGGGGUAAAAUCCGUAGAUAUCACUAGGAAUACCUAAAGCGAAGGCGAUCUCCUGGAACAUUACUGACGCUAAGGCGUGAAAGCGUGGGGAGCAAACAGG